This 45-nucleotide non-coding RNA is filed under the name Schistosoma mattheei. The record is from RNAcentral. Lineage: Eukaryota; Metazoa; Platyhelminthes; Trematoda; Strigeidida; Schistosomatidae.
AUCCAGCUGACGAGCCCCAAAUGGGACGAAACGCAUAUCGUGGAU